GACGAACGCUGGCGGCGUGCUUAACACAUGCAAGUCGAACGGUAAGGCCCUUCGGGGUACACGAGUGGCGAACGGGUGAGUAACACGUGGGUGAUCUGCCCUGCACUUCGGGAUAAGCCUGGGAAACUGGGUCUAAUACCGGAUAGGACCAUGGACUUCACGGUUUGUGGUGGAAAGCUUUUGCGGUGUGGGAUGGGCCCGCGGCCUAUCAGCUUGUUGGUGGGGUAAUGGCCUACCAAGGCGACGACGGGUAGCCGGCCUGAGAGGGUGUCCGGCCACACUGGGACUGAGAUACGGCCCAGACUCCUACGGGAGGCAGCAGUGGGGAAUAUUGCACAAUGGGCGCAAGCCUGAUGCAGCGACGCCGCGUGAGGGAUGACGGCCUC
RNAcentral lists this ribosomal RNA (386 nucleotides) under uncultured bacterium. Its description in RNAcentral is "bacterial SSU rRNA". It matches the Rfam family "Bacterial small subunit ribosomal RNA", at positions 28 to 418 of the family's 1533-position model. The record is from RNAcentral.